AUUGAACGCUGGCGGCAUGCCUUACACAUGCAAGUCGAACGGUAACGCGGGGCAACCUGGCGACGAGUGGCGAACGGGUGAGUAAUGCAUCGGAACGUGCCCAGUAGUGGGGGAUAGCCCGGCGAAAGCCGGAUUAAUACCGCAUACGACCUACGGGUGAAAGGGGGGGAUCGCAAGACCUCUCGCUAUUGGAGCGGCCGAUGUCAGAUUGGGUAGUUGGUGGGGUAAAGGCCCACCAAGCCGACGGUCUGUAGCUGGUCUGAGAGGACGACCAGACAGACGGGGACUGGAACACGGCCCAGACCCCUACGGGAGGCAGAAGUGGGGAAGUUUGAACAAUGGGCGCAAGCCUGAUCCAGCCAUGCCGCGUGCGGGAAGAAGGCCUUCGGGUUGUAAACCGCUUUUGUCAGGGAAGAAAUCUUUUGAGUUAAUACCUCGGAAGGAUGACGGUACCUGAAGAAUAAGCACCGGCUAACUACGUGCCAGCCGCCGCCGUAA
This 498-nucleotide ribosomal RNA is filed under the name uncultured bacterium. RNAcentral's name for it is "partial 16S ribosomal RNA". It matches the Rfam family "Bacterial small subunit ribosomal RNA", at positions 29 to 523 of the family's 1533-position model. The record is from RNAcentral.